This 574-nucleotide long non-coding RNA is filed under the name Salmo salar (Atlantic salmon). RNAcentral's name for it is "lncRNA (ENSSSAG00000091572.1)". Lineage: Eukaryota; Metazoa; Chordata; Actinopteri; Salmoniformes; Salmonidae. The record is from RNAcentral.
CCAUUGUCCUAUAGCUGUGUGCAACGCGAUUCAUUCUCCAUUGAAAAUCCACAAGACGCAGCACAUGCUUUUUCCUGCAGUUUUUUAAAAACUGAAAAAGUACAACAUGGCUACUGAGAGUAUAAACACUAAAUCGUACUUCAAGAAUACACAUUUGGAUGAGAUUAUUGCAGAAAGUGACCGGAAAAGUAACAUGAGAAGUCCUGCACGCAAGAAAGAUUGGAAGGAGAAGCACACUCUGCCAACCCAGAUGUCCUAGCCGUGUCUGAAUCCUGGCUUAGGAAGUCCACCAAAAACUCUGAAAUCUUCAUCCCAAACUACAACAUUUUCAGACAAGAUAGAACGACCAAAGGGGGCGGUGUUGCAAUCUACUGCAGAGAUACCCUGCAGAGUUCUGUCCUACUAUCCAGAUGACGAACACGAACUCCGCUGCAUUUUGGUCCACUUCUCUCCAUGACGACAGCCCUUACAUAAUUACCCACCACAAAAGGACCAAGCAGCGGAGGAGGAAGGAGCAUCGGGUUGAUGAAUGGACUUGGCAGAAUGAACGACGAUUCUGGGAGGACAAACUAAG